This 253-nucleotide ribosomal RNA is filed under the name uncultured bacterium. RNAcentral's name for it is "partial 16S ribosomal RNA". It matches the Rfam family "Bacterial small subunit ribosomal RNA", at positions 524 to 776 of the family's 1533-position model. The record is from RNAcentral.
UACGAGGGGUGCAAGCGUUGUCCGGAAUCACUGGGCGUAAAGGGUCCGUAGGCGUCUUAAAAAGUCAUUUGUUAAAUACACCGGCUUAACCGGUGACCUGCAUUUGAAACUAUUAAGAUAGAGUAUAGGAGAGGAAAGCGGAAUUCCUGGUGUAGCGGUGACAUGCGUAGAUAUCAGGAGGAACACCAAUGGCGAAGGCAGCUUUCUGGGAUACAACUGACGCUGAGGUACGAAAGCGUGGGGAGCAAACAGG